GCGUGAGUGAUGAAGGCCCUAGGGUUGUAAAGCUCUUUCGCCAGGGACGAUAAUGACGGUACCUGGAUAAGAAGCCCCGGCUAACUUCGUGCCAGCAGCCGCGGUAAUACGAAGGGGGCUAGCGUUGUUCGGAAUCACUGGGCGUAAAGCGCACGCAGGCGGGUGGCUAAGUCAGGGGUGAAAUCCCGAGGCUCAACCUCGGAACUGCCUUUGAUACUGGCCAUCUUGAGUCCGGGAGAGGUGAGUGGAACUCCGAGUGUAGAGGUGAAAUUCGU
RNAcentral lists this ribosomal RNA (275 nucleotides) under uncultured bacterium. RNAcentral's name for it is "partial 16S ribosomal RNA". It matches the Rfam family "Bacterial small subunit ribosomal RNA", at positions 399 to 691 of the family's 1533-position model. The record is from RNAcentral.